RNAcentral lists this ribosomal RNA (162 nucleotides) under Geijera salicifolia. Its description in RNAcentral is "5.8S ribosomal RNA". It matches the Rfam family "5.8S ribosomal RNA". Rfam says of the family: 5.8S ribosomal RNA (5.8S rRNA) is a component of the large subunit of the eukaryotic ribosome. It is transcribed by RNA polymerase I as part of the 45S precursor that also contains 18S and 28S rRNA. The record is from RNAcentral. RNAcentral also lists the same sequence under 1 other name. Lineage: Eukaryota; Viridiplantae; Streptophyta; Magnoliopsida; Sapindales; Rutaceae.
UAACGACUCUCGGCAACGGAUAUCUCGGCUCUCGCAUCGAUGAAGAACGUAGCGAAAUGCGAUACUUGGUGUGAAUUGCAGAAUCCCGUGAACCAUCGAGUCUUUGAACGCAAGUUGCGCCCAAAGCCGUCAGGCCGAGGGCACGUCUGCCUGGGUGUCACG